CCCUUAGAUGUUCUGGGCUGCACGCGUGUUACAAUCGGGAGUACAACAAGAUUGCAAAUCCUAGUGGAUGAGUGGUUCUUCGAAAUUUUCUGAAGACUGGGAUAGUUGAUUGAAAUUAUUCAACUCAAACGAGGAAUUCCUUGUAAUUGUAAUUCAUUAUAUUGUAAUGAAUACGUCCCUGCCCUUUGUACACACCGCCCGUCGCUCCUACCGAUUGAACGAUCCGGUGAAUUAUUUGGAGUAACUCUGGAAGUUGCAGAACUUCCUAUGUCACGAAAUUUUGUAAACCUUAUCGUUUAGAGGAAGGAAAAGUCGUAACA
This 320-nucleotide ribosomal RNA is filed under the name uncultured eukaryote. Its description in RNAcentral is "partial 18S ribosomal RNA". It matches the Rfam family "Eukaryotic small subunit ribosomal RNA", at positions 1470 to 1796 of the family's 1831-position model. The record is from RNAcentral.